RNAcentral lists this ribosomal RNA (227 nucleotides) under Scarus ghobban (blue-barred parrotfish). RNAcentral describes it as "partial 12S ribosomal RNA". It matches the Rfam family "Microsporidia small subunit ribosomal RNA", at positions 1057 to 1311 of the family's 1311-position model. Lineage: Eukaryota; Metazoa; Chordata; Actinopteri; Labriformes; Labridae. The record is from RNAcentral.
CAUUCAGUGAAACACUGAAUACGGAAAGCUAAUUGAAACAUUAACUUGAAGGAGGAUUUAGCAGUAAGUGGCGAAUAGAGAGCCCCACUGAAAUUGGCCUGAAGCGUGUACACACCGCCCGUCACUCUCCCCGAGCAGAAAAAUUCUUUACCUAAAAAGCCAAAUAAAUGUAAAGGGGAGGCAAGUCGUAACAUGGUAAGUGUACCGGAAGGUGCACUUGGCUAAAA